UAUAUUUUCCUUAACGGGUAACAGGUCGGGUCAUAUUACCUGUUAAUAUUAUCGGGUGGAUUUCGGGUCAGGUCAUUUUACCUGUUUAUUUUAACAGGUGUUACACGACACGACCCGUUAAGAUAUCGGGUAUGACACAAAAACGACACAAACACGGAAAAACGACACGAAUGCCAGGUCUAAUCAAAAGGAUGUAAAAAUAACAUUUUUAAAUGGAGAACUAGAUGAAGAAAUAUACAUGGAACAACCUGAAGGGUUUGUGCUCAAGGGACAAGAAAGCAAAGUGUGCAAAUUAGUUAAGUCAUUAUAUGGACUUAAACAAGCACCAAAACAAUGGCACGAGAAAUUUGAUCAUACUUUGUUGACACAUGGGUUCAAAAUAAAUGAAUUUGAUAAAUGUGUAUACAUUAAGAGUAAUGAUAAAACUUGUGUUAUUGUCUGCUUGUAUGUGGAUGAUAUGCUCAUAAUGGGAAGCGAUAAAGAUGUAAUAAACAAAACAAAGAAAAUGUUGAAUUCAAGUUUUGACAUGAAAGACUUAGGUCGAGCCGAUGUCAUUUUAGGAAUUCAAAUUAAGAGAAAUAGUGAAGGGUAUGUCCUUACACAAUCCCAUUAUGCAGAAAAAAUAUUACAAAGGUUUGGUCAAUUUGACUGCAAACCUGCUGCAACUCCUUUUGAUGCUGGAUGCAAGUUAGAGAAAAAAAAAGGUGAUGCCAUAUCUCAACUUGAAUUUUCUCAAGUAAUUGGAAGUCUAAUGUACUUGAUGAAUUCAACUAGGCCCGACUUAGCUUAUGCAGUAAGUAGGCUUAGUAGAUAUACAAGUAAUCUAACACAAGAGCAUUGAUAUGCUUUAGUAAGAGUGUUAAGGUAUUUGAAAAAUACACUUGACUAUGGAUUACACUACACAAAAUAUCCACCUGUUGUAGAAGGCUUCAGUGAUGCCAAUUGGAUUUCUAACACUACAGAAUCCAAGUUGACAAGUGGAUAUGUUUUUACCUUGGAAGGUGCAGCAAUAUCUUGGAAAUCCUCUCAACAGAAAUGUAUAGCUCGGUCCACCAUGGAGUCCGAGUUUAUAGCUUUAGAAGUUGCUCUCCAAUGGAAUAAUAUCCAUUGAUUAUGUGAAGUCAAAGGAAAAUAUAGCUAAUCCUUUGACAAAAGGCCUACCAAGAGAGCAAAUAUUAUUUACAUCGAGGGGAAUGGGUCUCAAGCCAAUUCAAUGAAUCAAACUGGUCUAAAACCUAACCUAAUUGAUUGGAGAUCCCAUGAUCUAGGUUCAAUAGGCAAAUUGGUUGACUUUGAUUCAAAAGUUGAACACACAACUUACCCAUUCUUAUGAUAAUAUGUGUGUUGUUUGUUGAAGUUUGAGGCGUCAUGUUUUAUACAUUUAAUGACAUUAAUAUCUUGUUAUCAAGAGGAAUAUGGCAUACUAUUCUUAAUUAAUGUCACAUAUAUAGGAGUAAAUGGGGCCGCAUUUAUGAGAAUUAACAUGGCUAAAUUCUCUAAAGCUCCUACGAAAUCCGGAAUCUAUUCAGGAUCGAAAUGAACAUAACCGUAUGAAUUGACGUGUGGCAUACAUGAUAUGUGUGUAGCAUAUUGUCUCAGUUUACUAUUGCAGUGAACAAUUCAAGAUCUUCCACAUCCACUGCGUCACCAAGUAAACCCGAUAUGUUUUUACCAGGGUAAGUUCAAGUCCAAAAGACACUUCACCCGAUGCAUAUCAUGCCUAUUCUCUCUCAGUUUUAGGCAGCCUAGUCAUACAUUUGCAUUUACAUUUAUAUUCAAAUGUGGGGUAAUUGUUGGAGUUUGGAGUUUGAAUGAAAUUUCAACUCAAAUGUGGGGUAUUGUUGGAAAUUUAAGUAGUUUAAGUAGAAAUUUCUUUAUCCCGCAUUGGCCAUUCCCAAAAAAUUUCAUCACUUUAUAAGGCUUUGUCCUUUAUAGAAAGUAAUUUGAGUACUAGGCCUUGGAGAAUAAAAUUGGGCUCACCUUUGGGAUUGAGCUUUGGGGUGCAAUAAUUAAUAUAUAAUUAAUUAUAAUUAAUAUAUAUAUAUAUAUAUAAUUAAUAUAUAAUUAAUUAUCACUCUUGGGCUCUGAAAAUUAAAUUCUUUAAUUAAUUAUUUUUAAUUAAUUUCGAAUUUAAUUUAAUUAAUUUUUAUUUGAACAGGCUCAUCUUUUCAGAUGAAGUUUGAAGUCAAUAAAAAACGUAGAGAGCACUGCACCCCAUUUGAAGAGAUGUCUCCCAACAGUCACAUCUCAUUCUUAUACAUGUUGCGAACAGGCAUAAUCCCACUAUAUAUACAUCCGUCUGCAUGACAUUUAUAACACAGAAAAACAUAAAUCUCCUUCUAUAAUCCAUAUCAUUCUUACUGAGAGUACCACAAGGAAAUUCGCCAGAAGUUAAGUUUUCCAGUGCUGGAAUUCUAACUUGAUCGUUGAAUCCUGGUGAAACAGACAUUCAGAGAACUACAAGCACUGAGUAGGGGCAAAAUUUCUGUUUCAAGGACAUUGUGGUACGUAAGCCUCGAUGUUCAAUAUUUCUGUUUAAUUCAUUGUUCAUACACUGUUUAUUUAUUAGCAUAUAUAAAUUUAUCACAGAUUGUUGGCAUAUAUCCAACACAAUACACAUAGUUAGAGGUCUACCUCAUUUGUAGCUACUGUCAAAUAUUGUCCCAUCAGCGAAUCUUGUCGUGUAGUGAAUUUGCGUUCAUGAAGACAAACUACUGUAUUAUUUGUGUUUGAUAAACAUAUCUUGUAAAAACUUCAUUUUUAGAAAAUGGAGAAAUGAUCGGUACUAAAUUAAGAUUGUUUAUCAAUUCAUUCAGUGAUGUAAAUCGUGGUAUAUGCCAUUUUUGGUCAUCCAUUUUCUAAAUGUGUGCUGCCUAGUUCUGUUUAGUUCGUGCCGGCCUACUCACAAGGGAGAAUGUUGGCCAGCAUUUGAAGUUGAGCGUUAUUACAUUCCUCAAGCUUCUCUCUUAACAAUUUAAGUUUUGGGAACAAACAUUUAAUUAACAGACCAAGAAAACGGAAUCAUUAUUGGUUUGAAUUGAUCGAAAUGGAUGCUGCUUGUAUAUUUGAUAUUUUGGUGCGAGUGAGUUGGAAUUCCUAUGUCUGCCACGUAACUUGGAGAGAAUAUCUCCCCUGGUAGGUGAUGUGACAUCCCACAUCAUCCAGGAGAGUGAUCCUUAAAUGUAUAUUCUCAUCAUUACCUAGCACGAGGCUUUUGGGAGCUCACUGGUUUCGGAUUCCGUUGGAAACUCCGAAGUUAAGCGAGAAGGAGGCCAGAGCACUCCUAGGAUGGGUGACUCACUGGGAAGUUGUUCGUGAGUUUCCAGAAACAAAACCGUGAGGGCGUGAUCAGGGCCUAAAGCGGACAAUAUCGUGUUACGGUGGAGCGGGCUUGGGAAGUGGUCCGUCUCGGGUCGGGAUGUGAUAGGUGAGGUGAGAAUAAGUUGUAUUACAAAUUUGUUGGGAGAGAAUUUCAAUUCAACUUCUUCACCAGCGGGAAAAAUCGUGAGUAUAACCUCAUGCUUGGAAAUUUUAUUCUCAACUAAAUGGAUCGUACUUGAUAUCCACUUUCUGGUUUAACAAAUGUUUUGGGUCAAUUAGACUCUUGACCAUUCAAUUUGGUAAGCCAUUGGCCCAAAACCAAAAGGACCUCAAUGGUCACUAUAUUAAAACACAAUCGACUUCACCUUCUUUCCCAAUGUUUUAAUCACACCCAUAUACAGGAAGCCUAUAAGCAAAGUGAUCCCUAUUAUUUUUUUUAUAAAAAUAGGUGUGAAGCCAAAAAUAAUCACAAGGCGACACGUAGAUCUUUGGAUAAAAAAGGACAAGAAUACCUUUGAUGCAUAUUGACAUUCCUACGCGCGAGUAGCAGACAAUCAUCUUUCAACCAAGUCAAAAGUGCCCAAAAUAGGUAACAAUUUAAAGCCUAUUUCAUCAAAUCCUUUCUAUAAGGUUAUUCCCAAAACCUAAUUUAUUUAAUAUGUUUUAUAUUCCAUUAUUUAGCUAAUCAAUAAACUAAAUAAUAUAUUCCUUUCAAAUUUCCUAAAAAUUGACUAAUUAAGGGAUUAAUUACCUAAUCAAUCCCUUAAUUAUCAAAUUGAAACACCCAUUCAAAUCUAAAAGUCACUAGAGGGCCGGCUAUCCCCAUUUCAAAACCUAAUCCAUCACUUUUUUUCUACCUUUUUCACCAUUUCUUCCUUUUUAUUAGCCAAUAAAUUCCAUAACCACCAAAACAUUUCCUUUUAUGUUUAAUUAGCCAAUUAAUUGCCUAAUUAAACCAAAACAAAACCUAAAAACCCUACUAAGUGGCCGGCCACAUUCAUCUCUAAAGUGAACCAACCUAGCCCUAUAAAUAGGCUCCUAUUUUCACCAAAUAUUCAUUCCAACACUUUGGCAAAAAUCCCAAAAUUCUCUAAACACUCUUUCUCUCUAAAUUCUAACUUUGGCAUCGGAGGUUCUUCGGCCAAAGCCCCCCCCAUUCAUCGUGGGCGCGUGAGGCUCUUGGCCUUAAUCUAAGGUGCUAAUUGUUUUGUAGGUGCAAAAUUGUCCAAGAUCAAGGAGGAAGAAAUUUGUAUCCACAAAUUGGUGCUUUCAUUGAGAGUUGAAAUUUAUACUCGUAGAAGACUCUCGCACAAAAAGGUUUUUUCUUUAUUUUUUAGUCCAUUUGAAUAUUUUUCAUACGUUCGUAUUAUUAGAAUUUUUUACUUGCAAAGGUUCUUUGAUAAAACGUAUAAGCAAAAUAUAAUGGCUAGAAAUUUAUAAAAUUUCAUAAGUGAAAAUUCUAAUGUUCAAGAAAUGGGAUUGCGGAGAUCCGUGAGGCUAAAUGCGACAAUAAGUGGAGCAGCACCACCACCACGAGUUUCCACCACGGGAAAGUAGCCACCCGUGGUGAGGUCCAUGGUGCCUUCAUCACGGCUCGAGCUGUGCCAUCCAAGGCUCACGGCACCAAGGCCACAGCCCAAGCUGUGCCAUCCAAGCUUGCAUGCGUCCGAGCCCAAGCCUCGCAUUCGCAUGCAUCACGCGCUGAGCAGCCCACUCUCGUGGUCCAGCCUGCUCCCGACAAGCAGCCCACUCUCGCGGCCCAGCCUGCUCUCAUGGCCCAGCCUGUUCCCGACGAGCAGCCUACUCCCGUGGUUCAGCCUGCUCCCGCCGAGCAACCUGCUCUCGUGGCCCAACCUGCUCCCGACGAGCAGCCUACUCUCGCAGUCCAGCUUGCUCUUGUGGACCAGCUUGCUCCUGCGGCCCAGUCUGCUCCAGUGGCUUUCCAAGCAGCCCAAGUUGGCCCAAGACUAUAUCAACCAUCCGGACCUACCAUCGAGCCGGGGGCAUUCUCACCACAUUUUUUCGUGGAUUUGACAUUUCCCAACUCAAAUCUCUCGCCCGGAGUCUACCACCCUUCCACUGCUCAAGGAAGCGUAUUCCUUCUAAGCUUUUCCAAUCCAAAUGGCGAACAACACUUGUCUUGACAAGUCAUAAAGUUGACGAGCGCCCUUGCACAACAGACAACCUUGGUGAAUCAACUUUUGCAAGCAUCAGGAUCCAACGUGCCCCGGACGAGGUAUCCCGAAGUAGGACAAGGGUAGACGAACCUUUCCAGCAGUGUCUCGGCAAGCAGCCACUAGCUGAGCGUUCGGGCAGUGUACAUUCCUAAUUGGGCCCCUGAGAUAGCGUAUACUCCCAUCUUAGAGCGCGGAUGAGCGUGCACUCUCGAAUAGGCCCACGGAUGAGCAUACAUUCAUGGUUGGGGUCACACUCUGAUAGUCAACAUGUGCAACCUUCUGGGCAAAGUGUUCAUUGGUGGCUAAGCCUAAAAGGAGCAUCCUCCACCUCACAUCGGAGUAGGCAGCACGACGGACGGAGAGAAGCAGUUACUCAAUCCAGCUCAAGUUCAACCAGCAGCUUGCGAAGAACUCGCUCGCCUGCUAGGAACGUACCACAUGCACUGUAUCCGCGGUAUAGAUAAGCCAAACACAUGGAAGAGCAGCCUAGACCAACAAGUCAUGGCUCGGGGCAGCCGAAAGCUCCGCUACCCCAACAAAGGCAAAUUCAAGAAAAAGUAGAGAGAUUCUUGACCAAGCGAUUGCACGAUUUCCAAUGCAACGAGGUCACUGACGAGGCACUACGAUGGAACAUGACCAACAUAAGCAGGUCACCCUUCACAAACGAGAUCGAGCAGGCAGAGCCUCCACGCGAGUUCAGCAUGCCACAUUUCACAUCUUUCAAAGGGGAUGAAGACCCGGAGAGACACUUAAAGCCCUACCGAAGCGCAAUGAUCCUUUAUCGAAACAACGAUAAUCUCAUGUGCAAGAUAUUCGCCACCACUCUACAAGGCGAGGCCCAAAAUUUGUUUUACACCUUGCCGCCACAAUCCAUCAGGAAUUUCUACGAACUUUCUUUGGUUUUCACCAAAGAAUAUUAAUCCUAUUGCUCGAUAAAAAAGAAGUCUGACCAUUUAUUCGACGUCAAGAAGAACCCAAAGGAAUCGCUUCGCGACUAUGUGAAGAGGUUUAAAGUAGAGAAGGCAAAAAUAGUCGGAUGCAACGACUCGAUAGCUAAAGCAGCCUUCCAAAAAGGACUUCCAGCAGACCACCCAUUGUUCGGAAAACUGAUAAUGAAAGAAGAUCUAACUCUGGCAGACUCUUUCGCUCUGGCAGAGAAGCAUGCACUUUGGGACGAAGUUCACUGAUGCCCAUUUAAGGGAUCUAAGCAAUCUUGAAUAUGAAGUUCCCCACUACUCUGAAGGAGAUUCAAAGUCUGACUAGACGAGUAGUCGCAUCUAAAGCAGAAAUAAGCUUUACCAUCAUACGAGAAGAGCUGGGGGCCCAACUACCUGUAUUCCAUAAUUUAAAAGCUUUCAUCGAUGCUAUCAGUUGUAUUCCACAGUUUAAAAGCUCUCAUUGAUGUUAUCAGAAAUUCAAAAGCUAACUUUGGCGAUAGUUGUUGUAACCUAAAAGCUCAAGUUUUACCCUCAAAUGCACGUAGUCAUCAUCAUGAUGCACUAUUCCACCGAAUCCUGACGAACGCAACAACUAGGCCCAAAAGACACGCCAAGGGUAGACGAACACUGGAAGGAACAUUCAAAAGCAAGUUUUAUCCUCGUCACCCCAGAAGAUUCAACAUAAAAGCAACAUGUACCGGCAGUUGAUCACUACCUUCUGCUACACGUCAUACGACCAUAGCCAACCUUUGCUCCAUUAUUCAGCUCUAGAGUGGCCUAAUACCAGAAAUUGAGCAUUUCCUGCUACAUGUGACAUGGCCUCAGCCCCACGGCUCCCUACCGUGCCUUCACACCUAGCCUUGACAACUCAAUAGAGUGACUCAACGGCUCCCCGAAGGCAGCCGAGCACACUUUAGCUGCACCUGCUCCCUCAAUGGAGAUUUCUGACAUUUGCAUGUCGAUAACGUAAUACCUAGAGAAAGUAUACAAGCAGCUUGAGGCAUUUUAGACUUAAACUCUCACUCAAGUUCCCCGGGCAGACAACGCUCAAGCAGACAUACUAGCCGGCCUAGGCUUCGCACUCGAUCACCAACUCAAAACGCUCUAUUCUGGUGGAAUAUCUUGACAAGCCAAACAUAGAGAUGGAGCCAACAGCCUAAGUGUCAUAGCAUUCUCAUCCAAAGAUCCCACACCGGAUCACAUAUCCGCUGCUUAGCGCCUCCUAACGACUUGAAAGUUCUAAGAUCAAAUCCACGAAGGUGUAUGUGGAAAUCACUCUAGAGGCCAAUCCUUAGCAUAGAAAGCUCUUAACACAGGCUACUAUUGGCCUACCAUGCACCAAGAUGCUAAGGAGUUAGUACAAAAUUGCCUUAAGAAUAUGGCAUCUAGCAGCACAUGUCCACGCCGAGAUAUCCUCAAGGCAAUGGGCGGGCCGAAGUAUCCAACAAGACGAUCUUCGACUGCCUCAAGAAAUCCCUCACCAACAAGAAGGGAAAAUGGCUAAACGAACUCUUUGGAUGUCUAUGGGCAUAUCGUACCACCAAAAGAUGAACAACCGAACGGUGAGGAGAUGGCCAUAAGUUUAGAUCUAGCAGAGGAGAAGCGUGAGCAGACCAUCACUUGAAUAGUAGCUUACCAGCAUCAACUCCUCCCCAGCUACAACAAAACCGGAAAACUCAAGAAGCUCGACGGGCACCACCUCACAAGCCGAGGACUAUCCAGUUGUUAUGUAGUUCUUACCUUACAGCUAAGUUCUUGUUCGUUUCACUCGUUUUUUUAAUGAAGAAUUCAGAAGUAAUCAUAACUUGGCUCGGUUGCAUGCUUACAACAACUGAUCACUCCUACACUUCAAAAGAAGACUGCGCCCUACUUAGGGACUCAUCGCAGGAAUUGCACCCUCCGAGAGACCAACCAUGCUCUCCAAUGUGAGAGGGUAAACUAAUUGCUCUCCAGUGGGAGAGGGUAAACCAAUUCCCCGACACCCAUAUGGGUCAGCUCUUCAAAACAGGAGGAUAACUUUACACUCCGAAUAUCUAGACGUGGAUGAGCCUGGCUACCCUAGUAUAACUAGAUGCACGAUGGCUUGCACCGGGAUUCCUAGAAGUAGCCACAAUGGUCUUUUUCAAGGCUUAGCUAACUGAAGGAUUUUAGGUCUCUUGGCCUAAUCCGUGGGGAACCGGACCCCAGAGACGGAGGGGGCACAUUAUGCAGUACGUCCUACAAAAAGUGACCGUUUUCGCUACCUAGGAUCUAUCUUGCAAGAGAACGGAGAUCUAGAUGGAGAUCUCAACCAUAGAAUACAAGUUGGAUGGAUGAAGUGUAAGAGUGCAUCCGGCGUGUUGUGUGACCGUCGUAGGCCACUGAAGCUCAAGGGAAAAUUUUAUAGGACGGCAAUAAGGCCAGCGAUGUUGUAUGGCACAGAAUGUUGGGCGGUGAAGCAUCAACACGUACACAAAAUGGGUGUAGCCGAGAUGAGGAUGCUUCGUGGGAUGUAUGGGCACACGAGAAAGGAUAAGAUUGGGAAUGAGGAUAUCCGAGGUAAAGUAGGAGUAGCCAAAAUUGAAGGAAAUAUGAGAGAAUCGGUUCCGGUGGUUUGGACAUGUGCAAAGAAGGCCCACUGACGCUCCGGUUCGAAAAUGUGACUACGGGACAGAGGUUCAGGGCCGAAGGGGUAGAGGAAGACCUAGGAAAACUUUGGAAGAGACCCUAAGAAAAGACUUCAGUACUUGGAUCUAACGGAGGACAUGACACAAAACCGAGCGCAAUGGCAUUCUAGGAUUCAUAUAGCCGACCCCACUUAGUGGGAAAAGGCUUUGUUGUUGUUGUUGUUGUUGUUGUUAUUCACAUGCUCUUGCAUAAGCUCAGGGUAGCUAUCCUUGUUGGGGCAUUGAGUGAUGUCAUGAGUUGUCUCACUACAAAUGAUGCACGCUUCUUGGGCAUUGGACAUGGAAGAGACCUGCAUUAAGGCAGUAAACUUGGCAUUAAAAUUCUUUUCCAUUUUAGCAAUUUGAGCAGAAACAUUAGGAGAACUCUGAGAAAUCUCAAAAACUCCCCUAUUUUGUGUUUGUUCUUCUGUCCAUUGUUGGGAUUCAGAAGCCAUCAUAUCAAAUAACUCAAAUGCUUCCCUUGCUGAUUUUGACAUUAACGACUCUCCAGCAGAUGCAUUCACUUGACUCUUGGUGGUGGCAUUGAGACCAUCAUAAAAUAUGUUCAUUUGAAGGUUAGAAUCAAACUCAGCAUGAGGACAUUUUGUGUACAUCUCAUUAUACCGUUCCCAAGCUUCAUGGAAAGACUCGUUUGGCUUUUGAGCGAAAGCCAAUAUCUCUUUCUUGAGUGCAAGCGUCUUGGAAGAAGGAAAAAACUUAUUGAGAAAUUUUUCUUGCAAUUCUGUCCAUGUUGUAAUGCUAUUGGCAGGCAGAGAAUGCAGCCACGCCUUGGCUUUGUCCUUCAAAGAGAACGGGAACAAACGUAACUUGAUAGAGAAACCUCUGAUUAUGGUGUUGUCACAUGCCUCAAUAAAAUCAGCCAAAUGCAUGUUGGGAUCACUGUUUGGCAACCCAUGAAAGGAUGGCAAUAUGUUGAGGAUGUGAGGUUUGAUUUCAAAGGUUGUCCCAUCUUCCACAUCUGGAUAUAUAAUGCAACUUGGCACUGCAUUGAUUCUCGCUGCCAAUGAAUUCCUUAAAGGUUGACCUGCUGCAGGUAAGGCUAGGGCCAUGUGUGCAACUGGUGCCAAAGGUUGGAAAAUAGAUGUGCUGCUAUCAGGAUCAUGGAACAAAUCCUUAAGAAAAGUAUCACCAAGGUUGGAAUCUUGUGCUAAAUAUUUUUCUCUAGCUAACUUCCUUGCACUCUCUCUGGUUCAGGGUCGUAAGGAAUAAGCACUUGAUUCUUGGACCUUGUUCCAAUCACCAUAUACUACACCUGAACAAACAACAGAAAUAUUAAGCCACAAUAAAAAUAAAAGUAAAAUAAAAUAAAACUUAACAGAAACUAACUAAGCAACAAAAAGGAAAAGAAAGUAAGUAAACCUAGAUGAAUCAAAAACACAAUUUAUGCAAAUUAGCAACCACUAGUUAGUUAAACAAAGACAAAAAUCUCACACCACACAUUCACUGAUUUGAACAAGAGCAAUAUAAAAAUAAAAGCCAUUGAUUUACCCAACGGAGCUAUAUGCAUCAUUCUGCAUAGACUUGAAUAAUUACUAAAAGCUGUGAACUAUAGAAAAGUUAGCUUUUAAAGACUUCAACUUGAUGCUUCAUGACCUUUUUAUUUUUAUUUUUAUUUUUUUUAAUACGUGAUUUAGAAUAGAAAUUUGUGAAAGGGAUACAUAAACAGAUUUCUAACGAAAAUAUACAGCAUUAUUACGGUACCAAAGUUAAAUUCACCAUCAAUGGGCUUAAUCAAAGAUCAAAACUCAACUAAAUUAAUUGCUGUUUUUUUUUUUAAAUUUAAUAAUUAAUAAAAAUAAGACAUAAACAUAAGCAUAAGAAAAAUAAACACAAAAGCUCGGGAACUGUUGGCACAGUCCCCGGCAACGGCGCCAAUUUCUUGAUAGCGAUUUAACCACUUGUAAAACAAAGGGUUAAACCAUAGAAAAUUCUUGCAAGAGAACAAGUGUUUGUAGUAUAGAAUGGCUCAAGCAAGGUCGAUCUCCUCAGGGACUGAUAUAAACAAUUUACGAGUUUUUGUGAAUUAUGCUACUUUUACUCUAAGAAUUACACUAAUUUGACGAAACUAAAUACUAUUGGAUGUGACUUAAACAAAUAUCUAAAAUGGGAAUUGGUUUAUAGGAAUAAUGAUUCAACUAAACAAAACAAGUAAAUGAGAAAAUUCAAGAUAAAAUAAAUGAUUGAAGAAAAAUAGAUUGACAAUAUGCUAGAGUUCAACCUUUACCAACAACACUCCUACGUAGCUCUUCCAAUUGCUUAAAUAAUUGAAAACACACAUACUUUGAAGGUUGGAUUUUCCUUGUGUAUGUUUUACUUGUGACAUUCAAGCUAAAACGCAUACCACUACAUGCAAUUUAUCCAUGACAUUUGGAUUAAAUAUAAACAUAAUGAUUCAUUAAUCUUGAUGAAAAUCCCUUUGUUAAACCAUGUAAUCCCUAAGAGUAUGAUAUUUACCUUAGGAGAGUACAAUCCUCAAUCACAAGAAGCACAAUCAAUUUUAACGUGACAUUCGUUCAAAAUUGCAUCCGAUAACUUUUCUAAGCAUCCUAAUGGUGAUCAAGCAUCAAGGUACAUAGAUAGUUUAAUUCAGUGAUUGAAAAUAUCAAAGCAAGCAUGUAACAACACUUAAGCAAUUGAAAGAGAAAUCUACAUAUUCAUGUUGCGGCUCAUGGCUUCACUCUAGCAAAAUAAAUUAGUUACACAUACUUGUAUUAAUACAUAAGAAAUUAUCCAUAAAAAAAUAACAAAGAAAGAAGACACCCGUUUUUGCAAGACGAGCUCUCCGUUCCUUUUGCUUUCUGCUCCUCACUUCCUCUCCUCUGCCUUUCUGCUUCUCCCCGCGCACCGCACUCUUUUUCCCCCUUUUAUUUUCUGCCGUGCUUCUCUCUCCUCUCUGUCAUCUUCUGUUCGUGUCCCCCAUUUCUUAUUCUUUUCCUUUUGUUUAUUUCCUUCUGUCAGUCCAUCAUCUUUGUCCUCUCUGCCUUUAUUCUUUUUGCUCCCUCCCCCUUCUCUUGUUUCUGCCGUGCUCCCUUCUUUAUGUGUGCCUUCUGCCCUUUCUUUUCUAUUCUUUUAUUCUUUUCCUUCCACUCUUCUUUGUCUGCCAGUCUGUCCCGUGUGCCUUUCCCUCUUUUUCUUAUCUGUUUUCUGUUGCUUUAAACAAUAAGGCAAUGAUCCUUUCAAAACAUCACCCCGUGGAGACAAGCUCCACUUCCAUUUCUCUUAUUUGUUUUUAUUAAUUCAUUUUCUCCAUUUUGCUUGAAAGUGAUCCUAAAAUAAAUUUAACUGCACAUUAACACAAGGUAAGGUAAAAUGCUACAAUUUUAACACAAAAACAUCACAAAGACUUUAGAAAUGUAUGGUACAAAUGCAUGAAAUAUAUGAGUGAUCAAUCGCUCCAUGGUGUUCCAAUCUGCAACCAAAAACACAAAUAUACACAGGUCAUUCAUAUUGCUUUCUAUUUCUUUCUAAGGAAACCUCAACGUCACAAGAGAAACUUAAGGAAGAAGCACAGAUAAACCAAACAAAACGGAUAAUUGUUUGCGUAGUAGGUACGUACCUGUCGGAUUCCAUGCCAAUGUAUGGCGGUAUUUUCUGUCCAUAAACUGUUAGUAACCUCAACGAUGAUUGUGUCGCCCUGCUGAGCAUGUAUGGUUGGUCCAGGACUUCUGCCAUUGAUGGUUAUAACCAGUUUCUUGAAGCAGUCAGGGGACUUGUACUCGUACUUGAGCUCCCAUUUGUAAUUCCUAAUUCUACCCACCACAACUAGAACCUCGAUAAUCAAGCACAAGACACAUACCAACAUAGCCACCGCCGAUUUAAAAAUGCCACCAUUAAUAUCAAGUACCAUCUACUAACAAGUUGACAUGUUUGUCAUUUAUUGUAAACAGCGUGGAAGGUAUGAAACACCUUGACUUUGAUUUGUUUACUCUUUUGACGCCUACUACGGAGGUGGAGGUAGAUGAGAUGAGAUUUUUUAGAACACGGAGUGGAACGCUACAUAUUACAAUAUAAUUGAGGGAUACUUGAAAAAAAAUAAAAAUUCCUCCAAUCAUAUAAUAACAUGUGGAAUUCACCCCGUAUUCCUGACACACUCAAAAAUCUCUUGUAUAUGAGUUUGAUGCUUAAUUGUACAUAAAAAUCAGUCACGUGAGUUUGAUUUGUGUCACACUAUUGUCACAGUGCGGUUUGAGAUUGAUAGAGGUGAGUUCCAUAUAUUAAAUAUGGUGAACUAUCAAUUUAGUCUCUGAAUUAUCACUUGAAUGAGGUCCCUAAAUAAUCAGUCAUUGAAUUAUAAAAAUCUGCCAAUUACAUCUCUAUUAUUAGAUUCGAAGCUACUAUAUUCAACUUUCCGGCAAUUUAAGUCACGUUACUUACAUGUGAUACACAUUGGAGAGUAGAUUGAUAUGUUUUUCAUAAAGAAAUAGUGUACAGAGUUAACUUUGGACUUAGAUGUUGGAUUCGCAACCUAUAUGAAAUGUUAAGGGUUUUUAGGCAAGAAAAUGAUGGUAACAUUUUAAAGUGUGUCAAAUAACUUAAGUUGACAAAAAAUUGGACAAACUAGAUCGAUGAUACCCAACCAUUUCUUUCAUAUUUUAUGUUUGAUUACACUAUUGCCACUGGAAUUACCGUGAGUCAUUUCUUCUUAUAGGAAACAUACUCAUAAUUAAGUUCAAUAUAUUGAACUCAAAAUUAAAAAUGUUUGUACCAUACUUGACCAAUCCUGAAACUAUUGAGCACCGGUCAACGUUAUACCGUCAAGGACCCAGAAGAGUUUCCCUCCAACCAGGAGGCCAAUCACAGCGCGACACACGUCGACAUCAGAAGCCAAUCAUAGCGCGACACGUGUCAACAUAAAAAGCCAAUCACAACACGACACGUGUCAAUGUCAGAAUGAAAUUAGAAACUCUUUUCUAUAAAUAGAGAUCAUUCUCUCACAAUAUUUCCGGAUGUCAUUUGCACUAAAUCAUUCACUAGUACUCACUAAAGGAAAGCUUGAACCUAUGUACUUGUGUAAACCCUUCACAAUUAAUGAGAACUCCUCUACUCCGUGGACGUAGCCAAUCUGGGUGAACCACGUACAUCUUGUGUUUGUUUCCCUAUCCCUAUCCAUUUACAUACUUAUCCACACUAGUGACCAAAGCAAUCUAGCGAAGGUCUCGAACUUAACACUUUCUGUUGUACCAAAGUCCUCAUUGAUUUUGUGCAUCAACAUUUGACGCCGUCUGUGGGACCAACACUUAUUCCCACUCUCUUCAGCUUUGUUAAGCUGGUUUCCACCAUUCAUACACUCUCUUUUGACCAGGCAUCCCUUUCCAACAUGGGGAGCGAAGGAAACCACAGCACACAAAAUGACACCCCUCUUGCACCUGGUGCGAAGCAACGAAAGAAGGAACAAAAGAAGUUUGCUCUUCAGGCUAAAGUCGAUGAGCUGGAGGUUCAGAACAACAAGAUAGCGAUGAAGAAUGAGAUCCUCCAGGAGCAGUAUGAGAAGGUCUUUGGGACGCUCCACGAAACUAGGCGUACUUAAACACGCGAGCUUGUUACCCUUGUGGACAUCAACCAUCAUCUGGGUGCCCCCCAACAAGGAGGGUCACCUCCAUUCGACAUAGGUAUCCCUGAUGAGGAGCGAGCUAAUCAUCAAAACAUUGAUCAAUAUGAGACUUCUCUCAACCCAGAUGCUUCGACUCGAAACAGGAGAAGUGGAGGAAGACACCUCCUUGCAGAAGGGUUGGAAGGAUCGAAAGCCGUUUAUCAUGACUACCGAGGCUUCCUAAAGCAACGUCGAGAGAAUCCCCUCUACAUAUGCUCGAAGAUCAAUGACCUAAAGGUUUCUGAAAGACUCGGUCCCAUCCUACGACCCAGGCCAGCUGCUAAUCUAGGGAAGAAACGAUAGGUCCCAGAGGAACAUGAAGGUACAGGGGACUCUAAGGUAUUCCGACAGACUUACCCCAGAAGUCAAUACGGCAAGUCCAAGGAAAAACCACACGCCCUUGCUCAAACUUUCCUACUUCUAAGAGGUGAUGGAGACUGACGAAAGAAAAUUCCAGUGGUACAUGACUCCACUCAGGACCCCCUUAUCCUACAACUCCUUGAGGAAGUAAACAAGUUGAAGGCCGAACGUCAAAACGAGAUACCUGACUGGAACCAACCCAGGCCUGACCCUCUCACAAGAAGGAUCUUCGACACCCCCUUUAAGCAAAGACAAAAUAAAAGCUUGGUUUACAACUCUAUAUUGGAAGGGAAGACCCAAUUGAACACCUUAACCUCUUUGAGUCCACCAUGGCAUAUAUGAUGCACACCGACGAAGCCAGACGAGUCACUACAAGAGUAUGCCGGUUGCUUCAGCCAUGAGUAUUCUCGCUGCGCUGAGGCAGAUGACAAGACCGCCCUCAAGGCCUUCACGGUAGGCCUACGUGAUUGUUUCUUCAAGUACAUGAUCAAUGCCAACACUUGGAAGACUUACUCUGAGGUGAUGGCACAUGCUUACAACCACGCAUCCGCCGAAGCAAGGACAUACCAAGGAAACCCCCAUAUGGUUAACCCCUAUCAACAAAUGGGAAGUGGAAGUCAAGUUCUACCAAGUGAGAAGAUAUUGGCCAUUUAUACACCCAUUGCAUCAUCUCCUGCCUCAUUUACCUACUCGCUAAGUCACCAAACGUAUUUGUCUCUUGGUAAGAGGAAGAAUUUUUACUUUCAGUAAGCCCAUUACAACAAGAGGGAUAAAAGUUCGUAUCAAGACAACCAGGGGUGAACGUACCAUCGACUAUUAUGACUAUGGGGCCAAGCCUUACUCUUUCAAAAUGGAGGACUAGGUACUGAAGGAAAUGCUAUUAUAAGAAGGCAUACACAUUAUAAAUGUUUUGACUCUCAACUGCUUGAGAUCUUUUGUCACACAAGCCAUUCGGCAACUAUUUAAAGAAAAGGGAAUUCAGACAACUUCUUCUGACAUGCGUACUUUGACACAAAGCAUGUGAUACUAAGUGUUACAACCAAAAUGGUUCACAUAUCAAAAGCAUGGAUCCCUUCAUGCAUAGUAAAACAUUCAUAAGCAUCACUCAUAUCAAUCAACAUAAACAUCACACAUUCCAACACAUUCAUACAUAAACAUCAUACAUUCCAACACAUUCAUACAUAAACAUCAUACAUUCCAACACAUCCAUACAUAAGUCAACUGUGCUUCGAAAGGGUUCAACAUACUUUGUGUCAUUCGACACUUGCUACAAUGUGCCUCGACACCUUGCCCUUAUUCUCACCAACCAGGUGAUGAAAUGUGAAGAAGGAACUCAUCUUCAUGCCACCAACCAGGUGAUGAAAUGUACAACCCGUACUCUCCUUCAUGCCACCAACCAGGUAAUGAAAUGUACAACUCGUACUCUAAAUAUCAUUUGGCAACUUGCCACUCAUGCCCCCAACCAGGUGAAGAAGGAACUCAUCUUCAUGCCACCAACCAGGUGAUGAAAUGUACAACCCGUACUCUCUUUCAUGCCACCAACCAGGUGAUGAAAUGUACAACCCGUACUCUCAAUCAUGCCACCAACUAGCUGAUGAAAUGUACAACUCGUACUCUAUAUCAUAUAGCAACUUGCCAUUCAUGCCACCAACCAGGUGAUGAAAUGUACAACUCGUACUCUCCUUCAUGCCACCAACCAGGUGAUGAAAUGUACAACCAGUACCCUAAUAUCAAUGGGGGGCAACCACAAUUCUUAAAAGCUUCACACACACUUAAUCAAGACAGUGUGAAGCAAAACCAAUUUAUGGUGCCAACAAUAGCUUCAUCAAUGGAGGACAACCACAAUUCUCAAAAGCUUCACACACUCUUGAUCAAGACAAUGUGAAGCAAAACUAAUUUUUGGUGCCAACAAGAGCUUCAUCAAAUGAGCUCAAUCACAAUUCUCAAAAGCUUCACACACUCUUGAUUAAGACAGUGUGAAGCAAAACUAAUUUAUGGUGCCAACAAGAGCUUCAUUAAAGGAGUUCCCACAAUUCUCAAAAGCAUCACGCACUCUUCAUCAAGACAGUGUGAAGCAAAACCAAUUUAUGGUGCCAACAAAGAGUUCAACCACAAUUCUCAAAAGCUUCACACACUCUUGAUUAAGACAGUGUGAAGCAAAACCAAUUUAUGGUGCGAACAAGAGCUUCAUCAAUGGUGGGCAACCACAAUUCUCAAAAGCUUCACACACUCUUGAUCAAGACAGUGUGAAGCAAAACCAAUUUAUGGUGCCAACAAUGAAGGGCAACUACAACUCAUAGAAAGCUUCACACACUCUUAAUCAAGAUUGUUCGAAGCAAAUUCAAUUUAUAUGGUUCAUCCAAACCUUUGACUACUACAAGGUGUGGCUUGCAUCACAAUCUCUUGCUCAACAGUGUGGAAGCAAAAUUUGUAUAUGUUGUUUCUCUUACAUUUUCAAAUUUCUAGUUUUCCUAAAAACAAAAACAAAACCAAAAAAAAAAGGGAAAUUCAACAAAGCUUUAUCAAUGGAGGACAACUACAAAUUCUCAAAAGCUUCACAUUAUCUUCAUCAAGAUAGUGUGAAGCAAAAUCAAUUCAUGGUACCCAACAAAAGCUUCAACUCCAAAGCUUCACCUACAAAGCUUCGACUCCAAAGCUUCACCUACAAAGCUUCGACUCCAAAGCUUCACGUACAAAAGCUUCACCUACAAAAGCUUCAACUCCAAAGCUUCACCUACACACCUUCAACUCCAAAGCUUCACCUACAAAGCUUCAACACAAAAGCUUCACCCACAAUAACUUCACCUACAAAAGCUUGACCCACAAAAGCUUGACCUACAAAAGCUUCACCCACAAAUGCUUCAACACAAAAGCUUCACCUACAAAAUCUUGACCCACAAAAGCUUCACCUACAAAAGCUUGACCUACAAAAGUUUCACCUACAAAAGCUUCACACUAUCUUGAUUAAGAUAGUGUGAAGCAAAAUCAAUUCAUGGUGCCCAACAAAGCUUCACCCACCACAAAAGCUUCACCUACAAAAGCUUCACCCAUAAAAGCUUCACCACAAAAAGCUUCACCCCACAAAAGCUUCCCCCACCCAAAAAGCUUCACCCACAAAAAGCUUCACCCACAAAAGCUUCACCUACAAAAGCUUCACACUAUCUUGAUCAAGAUAGUGUGAAGCAAAAUCAAUUCAUAGUACCCAACAAAGCUUCAACAUCAAAGCUUCACCUACAAAACUUCACCUACAAAGCUUCACCUAUAAAGCUUAAUAUAUAUAUAUAUAUAUAUAUAUUCAGAAAUUCGAAAAUUCAAAAAUUCAAAAAAAAAAAAUCGAAAAUUCAGAAAAAAAAAAGAAGCCUAUGACUCCUCUUAUUUGGGCCUAACAACUUUCAUAACAAAUAUAUAUGAAAUAGGAGUUUUGGGCUACCAGUUAGAAAGGAAAAUGGUGAAGUUUUGUUACUUUGGAAACUUGGCUACUAGCAAGACACCUCCUUUGUCCACUUCCUCGACCAAAGACUUGGGGGACUCCUACCAUAUGCUACUGCACCUUGAUACUCGGAAGUCUCACGACCACUCAAUGACUUGGAUUUUUUCAAGUCUCCAACCUAGAAGUUUUCCUCACUCGGGAAAUUAAGGGAGCACUACCUCAACCUACAUGCUUCACUCACAAAGCUUCAACAUACAAGCUUCAACAAAAGGAAAAAUUCAAAGAACUUAGUGAAGAAGACCUUAGUGUAUUUAGCACAAUACGUUGAAAUGAAGCAAAGCUUGUUUAUUGAUAUCUCUGAUAAGUUACAAAUAUGUACAUAUACAUGAAUCAAAAUAAACAAACAAGAGGGAGCCUUCACAAAGGUUGCUCAGGAGAAGUCUUAUCAUUUGGCAGAGCCCCAGAAAGAGGAGGCACCAGAGGGUGAUUAUUCGGAGCCUCAGUACCAGGAGAACCCCAGAAGGAUGAGGCACUGAAGGUUGAUCAUUUGGAGCUUCAUUACGCGGUACAGCCCCAGAAGAUGAAGGCAAUAAAUGCCUUCGGUACAAACCCACAAACCUUUGAUGAUCAAGUAAAAUCUGACCAUCAGAUUCCUGCAGCUGGUCGAGCUUCUUCUUCAUGUUUGUAGCAUAGUCAUAUGCGAGCCUAUGCAACUAUUUAUUCUCAUGCUUGAGCCCACUAAUCAAUUGUUUGAGACUUAUCACUUCAGCCGCCAAUGAUUCAACUUGGCGGGUUCGAGCAAUAGGCGUGGGGCCAUAUUAGACACAGAUCCUGCACAUUUAACACUGAGAGCUAGAGAAUCCUUAACAGCUAACUCAUCAGACCAUUUGGAAAGUAGUCUGUUAUCUUUGGGAGUGAGAAGGUUCCUGGCCACCACCGCAGCAGUCAUAUCAUUCUUCAUCACAGAGUCCCAAACGGUAAGAGGACCAGUAGGGGAUAAGAAUGAUAAGCGCCAUAUAUUGUCUUGAGAAGGCAUGGCUGCCUCUUCACCAAAGUUUAAGUCAAAACGACGGUCGGAUGGGCCAGACAUUCUCAGAAAUGAUGAAGGAGAAAUGAGGUGCAAUAAAUCUCUGAAGUAAGAGGAAAAUUCCUACAAGCAAUAACUCUUUGAAUAUAAUUCUUGCACACAAUUGGUGCCCUUAUAAAAGAAAGGGCAACAUGGCCGUUGGUUCAAAAAUAGAAGAGGCACCACUCUCCGGAUUCCGAAGAGGCACCACUUUCCACAUGCAACAUCAGCUCCUCGGGUACCACAGAUAACUUUGCCAAAGAACUCUGACAAAGUUUAAACACAUAAAUUUUGAAGGUCCAGCUACCCUACUAUUACCCACAAGGGUAAAGGAACAGCACCACUGCUUGAUAACUAGAAAGUCCCAAUGUGUGUCAACCCCGUGCUCCGUGGCAAGGCAGACUGGCAAAAAUGCCCAACCUUUACUUACAUUCGAGAAAACACUCCCAACAAGAUUGCUUGCUCAAAAAUCAAAGAGGCACCACUCUCCGAAUCUCGAGAGCCAAACUCCCAACAGGAUUACGUGUUAAAAAAUCGAAGAGGCACCGCCCUCCGAAUCUCGAAAGCUAGACUCUCAACAAGAUUACUUUCUCAAAAAUCGAAGAGACAUUGCUCUCCAAAUCUUAAGAGUCAAGACUCCCAACAGGAUUGCUUUCUCAAAAAUCGAAGAGGCACCGUUCUCUGAAUCUUGAGAGCUAGAUCCCCGAUAGGAUUGCUUGUUCAAAAAUCGAAGAGGCACGGCUUUUCGAACUUCGAGAGCCAGAUUUCCUAGGAUAAAGUUUGUUUGCAAUCUUCACACGCAAAAUUAGCUUUCCAGAUACCACAGAUCACUUUUUCAAAGUGCUAUGACAAAGUUAAAACACGUGAAGCUUGAAGCUCCCAUUACAUUGCUAUGACCAAGAAAGGUAAAGGAAUAGCACUACUAUUUGUUGUUAGGAAGACUCAUAUAUAUGUCGACCUCCAUCCUCCACAACCAGACAAACCUGCAAAUAAAAAAAUGCUCAACUUUUCUUCACAUUUGAGAGGGCACUCUCAGCAGAGUCUUUCGAAAUACUCAGCUUCUUUUCCUCCCGAUAAUAGCUCUGCAAACAAGCCACACCAGAGCAAGAGUAUCUCAUAUCAUCAGGGUUAAAAGCAAGAGUAUCCCAUAUCAUGCUUUUUCCUUGUCUUUUCCUUUGGCCUUGUUCUUACCUGCAAGACAAGUAGAAAGAGAGCAAUCAGUCAGCACUUGGAAUCAAGCUUCCAGUCAAGAACUGACUGCUUGGAACCCCUUGCCUGAUUACUUACCUGGCAUUGCUCUCGAGUACUCAUCUUCAACAUCUUAUGUUUCCAGAGAAGAUACCACAUCUGCCUGAGGAACAUAUAGGGCAAGUGAGAAGGAUACAAGGAAGCAUGUGGAGACAAGUGUAACAGAACACGUGCCGAUACAUCAACUACUUUGUCAACAGCAAAAGUAUCCCAUAUCAUCAAGGUCGAACGUACUCUAGAUUUGAUGGACUUGUUUUGAUCCUCAAAUUCUUGAGUCGGCCUUAUACUCUGGAGGAAACCAGAAAACCCUCUAGCCCAGUUCAAGAAUAAGCCUAUGGAAAGUUACUUCUUCAAAAAACAAAAGUAUCUCAUAUCAUCUCUUCUCCAUUUGCUUCUCCUUAUCCUUGUUGCUAUUUACGACACAAAGAGAAGGAGAACAAUCAACUGGAAGCCAAAGUCGAACCUCCGAUCUAGAUUGCUUGCUUGGAAGUUUGAUUGCUUACCUUGUCUGUUACCUCCUUCGGCAAAUCUCCUAGCUUGGCGACUUGAGGGACUCAUAGUGUUUGUAUCGCACUUGACCAAGCCCAAAACUACAAGUAAGCUUCAAGUGAAAUUGAUACAAUCGCAAGGAUUAUAUUUGUUCCAAAUUUCGUUAUUCCAAAAGUGAGACAAAUUUGGAGAAGAAAAGAGAAUCAAAAUGGUGUACUUGUCAAUACCUCUCCAACUCCAAGUUGUUUAAAUUGACUGAGCUCUCUCUUUGCAAAUGCUUUCAUUCAUGCAUGGUUGCAUGUUCAUAUAGUAUAGAUAUUGUAUUUUUUUUCUUGUUAAAAAAAUUUGUGUGAGGUGAAAUGCUUGACCUAUUAUGAUAGUAUAGAAAUGAUUUCAUAUGAAUUCUAGCUUUGUUCACUUGAUGGCAUGACUCUACUAUGAUAUGUUUGACCCAUUGUAGACAAUAGCCUCUUGUUGAUAAUAUAUGAAUGUUAAUGAGAUUUUGUGCUUAAAUAUAGUGUGUCCAUUUUUCAUACACUCUUUUUUUCAUGUGUACAAUCGUAUGUGUUUUGCAUCUCUAGAACUUGCCUUGAGACCUCUCAAAACUUUGUAUCAUAUAUUUCUCUAUUUUGGAGGCGUUAGGACUUACCACUAUUUCCACUUGCCAGUGCCUCACAUUUUUUUGUCCCUGGUUAGCCUUUUUGAGCCUGGAUGUAAGUCUUUUUGUUCUUAACCUUAAAUUUUUCUUAACUAGCCUCUUAUAUUAAAAAUGCCCUACCCUACAAAGAAACUAGUAGCUUACGUUUUCCAAAUGAGAGAGUUCAAGGCUGUUCAAAAGCUAAAGACACAAAUUUUAAAGAAACUCAAUUACAAAUGAAGAGCAAAAGAAGAAAAGAGGAAAAUAGGUCAUUGUGAGCCACAAUGAGCUGUCAACAUCAUAAAAAAUCAAGUGCAUCGUUGCCUGGUUAAUUGUUGCAUUUCUCUCUUAGUUUCGUUUUCCACCACUUUAUAAGUUUUUUGGACUUUGUGAUUCUCAUAUCCUUCAUUUAUUUAACCAAGUCCCCGAAGCCCCAUUACAACCCUUCACAAAGACCUACUUGAUCCAAAGAAGGUAAAUUUGAGUGUAUACACUUAACCCCAAACACUUUGAGUGACAAUUCGAGUGUAUGACUUGUGAGUUUAAAGGUUAAAUUAGAGUUGAUCUUGUCAUGCUUAAUUGCAUUUGUGUUUUACCAACUUUUGUCUAUACUCUCAACUACACUCAUACAUGUUAUGGUUCAGGGAAAGUGUUAGCUUGUGAAUGAGGAUUCAGAACUACAUGUGUUCUUGCACUCUUUCAUGUUGGUACAAUCAUAUGCUUCUCAUAGAUUAGAGGAAAAAUAAUCAUAUCAUUUGUGUGCUGCAUUUCAUUAUAUUUUUUUAAGCAUUUGUUUAAGGGGAGCUUAACAAUAUGAAAGAUGUAUUUCUUUCCAUGUUUAUUUUUUUUUUCCACUAGUGCAUUAGUUUUCUUUCCCCUCCUCAAUUCAUCUCACUUUCAUUCUUCCGAAGUGGUUUCAGUUCACAUAAAAGAAAUUUUUUCCAUGCCAUUUCGUUAUGUUCGCUUAUCUUCCGUAGAUUGCACCGGAUGAUUACCUCGAAUAUAUAUCUUUCAGGAAAGGAUCUGUUUCGCAUUUCAAGUGAAUAAGACAAAGUUGAUGUCUAUUUGCCUCCUCCCUAUUUGACAUUUAUUUAUUUCUCUCUUACUUUUAGACCUUUCACCCUUAUAGACAAAAAGGGGAAGAAGUAUGAUGCUUAUAUCUAGGAAGAGAAGUAGAAUUUCAAAAACCUGGUUGUUUUUGGUUGCUUGCUAUUACAUAUAUAAAUGUUUUUAUUUUCAGCAGCUUAUAUCUUUUGUACGCCACAGGUUUUUUGGUUUGAGUGUGUGCAGGUUAUAAACGUUGAUGUUAUGCAUGGUCUUUUAUAUUAUUAUCCAUUUGUAAUAUUGUGAUUGAGGGUUUUAUCUAGGAAAUCCCAAAAGGGGAGAUUGUUAGGGUAAAAUUGGAUGUUCAUAAACAAAACGCAUGAGUAUGUAAUUUGUAGACUAGUACAUGUUUUCUGUUGUAGCUAUUUUGGUCUAAGUUUGUCUCUCGUACUCUCGAUCACAAAAAUGACAAAUGUUUUAGAGACAUCUACUCAGGUACAAUUGUAAUACAUACGCAUAUAAUCUGGGUUCAUGUCGAUUGGGCUUAUUGGUUUUAACGGCCUGUUUUGAAUUUGGGUUUAAAAUUCUUUCGGAACCUAUUUGGUUGUGUGGUUGUAUGUUAAAUUAGUUUGGGCUUAAGAAGAUAGUGCCGUGGAAUCCUAUAGGUAAAAUACCUUAGCCUUUGGUUAGUAAUUUGAUAAUUUAGUUUGUCUGCUUUAUCCCAACAACUUCAUGCUAGCCAUGCACGUUUAUCAUGUUUGUAGUCUCAAUCUUUUAGAGUUUUAAGUUCAUUAAAAGUCUUCUACUGUAGCCAAUAUAUCUAGGUGCUUAGAUAUUCAUUUCGUGCUACUGCUGCCGUAUUACAACAUAUAUAUGCAUUGAGAGCAAUCAUUUAUUUGAGAGAGCAUGUUGGAAAUGUGCCCUAAAACCAAUCAUGUGAUGAUACUUUACGGACAUUUCACAUGUUAAACUAAUCUAGUUUAAUAUCAAGGGCAAAGAUUAUUGUUUUAAGACGUCUCAUAUAAAUGUUAUAUGCUUAAACGAUGAGUCCAAGGAAUAUGUAAUUAGGAGAAUGUAAUUUAAAGAAGUUAGAUUCAUGAAACCAUUCUCUUUCGUAUACAUAUCCUAAACGUUCCUGAUCAUAGGAUUGCCAAUUGGGCAUUGACAGUCCGUUAAGAUCAGUAUGUGCUAUGUCUUCUCUUAGUGAGAGUAACUGGUCUCAAGUCAUUGGUGUGACUGACACCAAGACAAGUACGUAGGUGCUCAAUAAGGAAUGAGUUCACCGAACACGAUCAACGAAGAGUUCUCAUACUCAUGUCACAUGAGAACUCAUGGUUGGGAUAAUGCAAAGUAGUCAUUUGACCUAAGGCAUCAUAGUUGUCUUGUGGUUAGGUCCUUGAUCUUUGAUUAUGUCAAAGUCACUCCAUUCGUGGGUGUCCACGACAUAGUUGGGGUUAAGCCACUUAGCCAUGGAGGCAAGUGAAUGCGCAACAAGGGAUCUCUAACCUUCAAACCGUUUGAGGGAGAAUACUCUAUGAUAUGAUUAAGAAUCUCUGGCCAGAGUAUGAAUGAGAUUUAGGAAGUCGUUCCAAAUCACAUUCAAGAUAAUCAUAUAAGUAAAUGAAUCACAUUGGAUAGUAGACAUGAAUAAACUAUCAAACCAAACAAUGUGGUCAAGAGUAUUGUAUUAGAGAAAGACCAUAUUGCAUUGUAAUCCUAAACUGAAUAGGUUCUCCACCUCUUCUGAUUAGCUUGGGUAACCAUGACAUACUGCUAGGUGUCACUCAUGGUUUGUGGAAGCCCUAAACGUGUAUAAUCACUAAAGGGAGAAUUGAAAGUAAGUUUCAAUUCACAAUCGAUUUGAAAGAGUUCUAAUCGCCCACAGCCUCGCUAAAAGGAAACUAAUGGAUCGUACACCGUGUAAGGUAGAGAUUGAAGAAACAACGGAGAUGAGUAAGAAUAAUUAAAUGGUUUAAUUAUUUAUGGCAAGGAUUAAUUAAUAUGUUAAUUAAUCAAACGAAUAAGUUCGUUAAAGACCUCGGGAUAGUAUUGGACCUUAAGGCCCAAUGGGCUUUGAACGUGAAGUCCAUUGACUUAAGUUGUAUGACAACUUAAUGAAUAAUGAUUCACAAAGGCACAAAUAGCCCAAUAAUACCCUAAGGCCGGCCAUUUAGAGGAAGGGUAGUGAACUUGCUUUAAUUACAAGUUUGCCACUCCAAUGAAUAAAGGUAUAAAUAUGACUUUAUAGCCAAAAUUCAUUUAGGGUUUUUGAGGAAAUUGGAGAGAACACAAAGCUCUCAUUUCUCUCUAAAGAGGUCGGCCACCCUUGGAGGGAUUAGCUAGUAAUCUUUCUCCCCCAAGGUCACUCAUCUCUUCUUCACAUCUUACCUUGGUGUGGAGACUUAGAGGUUCUCAAUUUUGAGAACUUGGAGAAACCAAUUCUUCCAUCCAAAUCCAUGGAUCUAAGAAGCAAGGAAUGAAGGCCCUAUCUCUUGGGUGAUUAUCCUUUGCUUUUGCAAAGAGGAAUCUACAAAGGUAUAAAUUCUCAACUCACUUAAUUUUGAGUUGAGUCUUGGUUCACCUAACUACUAGGCUUUGAAUUUCAUGGUUAACGUUUUGUUUUUAAGUGCAUACAAGCAUGAUUCCGCCUUUAAUUUGUUAAUUGCAUGCUAUAGAUGUUGCUUAAAUGAACAUGUUUUUCACAAAAUUUCCUUCAGAGCAUGCGUUGGGUAUUUAGAAGUCAUCAUCAUACCAUAAGUUUUGGUUUUGGUUGCUGCAGCAUGCAUUAGAAUAGGCUUUGUUUUUGGGCUGAUGUUUUGUGCCUUAAUGAAAAAAAGAAAAGAAAAAAAAACCCCUGUCGCAUAGCACACUUGCAUGCACCAAGGGAUAUUUGAGCUUAAUUUAGUCAGCAACACUAGCAACAUUGCAUAUAUUUCUUUGCUGCAUGAAUUAGAUUCGGAUUUUGGUUUUUGUUUUGCUCAUGAAACAUUAUUAGAAAGCAACGACAUGUGAGCAGCCCGUGUGCACAUAAGGAUUUCCAUGAAGAAAAAUCAGUUUCAUUGUAGAGUGUUUUAAUGAGAAAAUAUUAGUUUUUAUUCACUUAUUUUUCUUGCACCUAAAUUAGAAAUUAAUUAUGAAAAUGUGCCUUGUGAUUUUCAUAAUUGGUUGAUUUUCAAAAUCAUUUCAUUUCAUACUUUCUGCAUGAUCGCAUUAGUAUCUUGCAAAUUUCGAGGACAGUGAUUGAUGGGCCAAGUUAGUGUCUUGCCACUUCUACUCAAAGACUAAAGAAAGAUCUAGUAGCAAAGUGCGAAGACAAAACUGUCUACUGGUAUGUAUGUGUAGUUGAUGAGUUUUGUAUGUCUUUUUGUACUCAUUUCUCUUAGUGAUUGUCCUGGCAUGGGAGCUCGAGGAUUUUCCCAGUGGCGGGUUUUGCCUCGUUAAAUCCUACAUCUUGUGUGCACAUUUUGUUUAGCAUUUUAAUUGCAUAUGUGUAGGAUAGUUUGGUAUGUGAUGUGAAUGCAGAAGUUAAAUUGAGAAUUAAAUUUGAAUUGGAUUUUUAAGUUGGAACCUAUUCACCCCCUUUAGGUUAAACCAAUACCCAUCCUAGAACUUUCAAGAAGGAAACUCUUUGGAAGGAGAUUAAGCAUCUUUGCUAAAAGGUUGAUCAGAGAGAUAACAAGAGCAUCACAAACCUUCAACAGCUUACCUUAUAGGCAUACCUCUAAGAUGUCUGCACUCUAAGAAGGCCAUGAGAAGUUACUCGAAGAGGAGUUUGAUGUCAGAUUCCCCACUAGCUACGCCUAGUGAGACUACCUUAGGGGUUAGAGUGUUUUCAGAAUUUAUGAGGAGAACAAACAUAUGGAGUUCCUCCUCCAUAGUAUUUGUGGACGUGAUUUCAAAUUUAGAGGCAGAGCAAGAGGAAUGCGAUCUUGAAGACAAUCUUGCACUUGAUACCCCUGGUGAAUCCUCUACUACAUUCAAAGGAAAAGAUGUGCCGAAAGAAGAUUAAUUUGCACUUACUUCUAGCUAGGUCCUUAUAAAAAGCACCUGCAUAAUUCAAACUGCCAAAAAAUCUUUGCAGUUGUUUUUUAAUCCAAAAUUUCAUCUGGAAAUUUAUCAGCAAAAUCAAUAGGCAAAAUAAUUCCUUUAUGAAUAUUAUGCCCUAAAAAUAAAACCUUGGUUUGAAAGAGUUUCAUCUUUUGAGUUGAAACUACUAAACGUGCAUUCUUCACCACUUUCAAGAAAAUACUUAGAUGCUUAAAGUGCUAUUCUAACGAAUUAGAAAAGACUACAACAUUAUCAAUAUAAACAAUAGUAAAAGUUGAGUAAGGUUUAAAGAUGUCAUUCAUGAUAUUUUGAAAUUCAAAAGGAGCUUUCUUUAAUCCAAAAGACAUUACAUUCCAUUCGUAGUGUCUAAAUGGGAUAUUGAAUGCAAUUUUAUACCUGUCCUUUUCUACAUAGAAUGUUGAAUAACUUAAAGGAGAAUAGCUCUUUCGGAUUAGCUUCUUUUCAAGAAGUUCAUUGAUUUCUUUCUUGCAAAUCUUCAUUAAUCUGUUAUUCGUUUGAAUGGGUUGAGCCUUUGUGGGAUUUUUCUUUUCAUCAAAAUCAGGUUCUAGGGUAAUUCGACAAUAUGCUUCUUACGAUCCCAAAAGGCACUUGGAAUUUCAGCACAUACCUGUUUUUCAAAUUUCUUUUGGGUGGACUCAACUUUUUCUUUUACUAUCUUUGUAGUGAGUUGUUCUUCAGUCAUUUUAAAAUGCAUUUUUUCUUUCAGAGAACAAAGAAAUUUUUCUUUGUUUUGAAUAUUCUUUUGUAUGGAAUUUACAUAUUGCAUUUGGGGUCGUCUAGAAAAUGUGAACUUUACCUUUGUUCCUUCAACUUCAGUUUCAGUACCUUCUUCAGAAACUUUGAAUGGAUAAAACAUGUUGAUAAAAGGAAUACCUAAUACCUAAAAUCACAGCAUGGCUUAGUCCUUUAACCAUAACAAAAGGAGUUUCAAAACAAACCUCAUCUUGAACGACUGCGGCAUCCGACACUUUAUAUUGAAUUUUCAUAGGUUGAUCAGUUGCACUACACAGACCUUGAGAUGUUUUUGAGAAGUACUUUGUGGGUACAGUUCCUUCAUUUAUACAAUUUAGAUCUGCUCCGGAAUCAAUGAGUGUUUCGAUGGAGAACCUGAAAGUUUUGUUAAUAACAAAGGUAAUUAUAGAAUACCAUUUUUGAGAAAUCACCUUGUCAAUGCUACUAACAUACUUCAGGGUUGAAAUGCUGCUGUUCGGAUCACCAAGCUCCAAAACUGGUUCAUACUCUGGUGGCUUAUUCUUUUUCUUUUCUACAAUGUCAUCCAUCAGAUGAUGAAACUUGCUUUCAAUUUUAGUUCUAUUGCCUUUAUUUCGAACUUCUUCUUCAGGCGAGAAAUGAUAGAGUUCGAGGAUUGAACUCUAUGCUUUAAUCCUUUAAUUUCAUAUUUUGUAACAUUAAUUUCAUGUUGCAUUUCAGAUAAUGUAGGUUCUUUCUUAGCUAUUUUUUUUCCAGCUAUUCUAUCAACGAUUGUUUUGAAUCUAUAAGCUUCUAUUGCUUGUUUCUCACUAGGCUCAGGCUUUUCCUUUUCUUUUGCCAAAUCUAAAUAUUUUUUUUUCAAAACUUCUCUUUUCUCUAAAGGAUCUUCUAGCCUAUCGAUUAAGUCUAAAAUCAGAUUUUUUUUCUUUGGUGAUAACACAUAGAUUUAGCUUGCAAGCACAUUCAUUUUCUAACUCGGUGAUGCUAGCAUCUGUUGAUGAUGUAAAUAUCUCUUUAUCUUCAAGAAUUGCAACUUCAUUCUUGCUUUCUUCAGAAUCAGAUGAGUUUAACCUUAGUUGACAUAAUUGCCCUUUCAGACCCUCAUCUAGAUUGAGAUUGUUAAUUUUCUCUUUUAUUUGGCAUUGAGGUCUCAUGUGUCUAACUUUUUCAUGCUUGUAGGAAACAAGAGGUUUUUUUAUCUGGUCAUUCUCUCAUCUUUUUUUGUUUGCGAGACUAGAAUUUGUGCUUGCGAAACGACAUGUAAGGUUUAGAGGAUUUAUGUGGACUAUCUUCCGAGUAUUUUAUGGAAAAUCUUUUUGUUUUCCUAAAGGGUUUCCUUGAAGAAUAUUGACCUUUAGGUUCAAAACCAAAUUGUUUGUAGAAAUCUCCCAUUUCUUAUGAUCCUAAGGCUCUCUACUUAUCAGGCUGUUGUUUUAGCUUCAUAUCAUUACAAAGUAUUUUUUCAGCACAUAUUUUAGAGGUAAGUUCUCCACAGGUAUACCUGUCAUAAGGUAUAUUUCCUCCAAAUUUUACUCUUAUCCGACUUCGUACAUUUUCAUCUAAUAGAGCAGGUAGUCUAGAAAUAAACUUUUCUUUCCAGAAAUCAGCAUUACAAUCAGAUUUAAGGAAGACCUUGGCAUAGAAAACAUCUUUAUAUCACCUAAAAUGAGACAAAGCCAGGCAUUUUAAGUUCAUUAGGAGUUCUCUAGACCUAUCUUGUUGAAGCUCAGUAGAUCCAACAAAAAAGGUAAAUGGUGUAAAUUAGGGUAUUCACCACACCUUCUUGAGCUACUAUCUGCCCAUUAAUUUUUCUUACCUUUGUGGCAGCAAGAAUUUGUCUUUUUCCUUCUUCGCCUAGGUGAAAAUGUCACAAUCCACGAAGUUGUCCUAUAAAUCCUGCUACUAUUGCAUGAGCAAUGGCGUUAUCCGAAUUUCCUUAUAAUUUACUGGCAUAUGAGAAAAUCAUCAUGUGUCUCAUAGUAUUAAUUACUUAGUAAUAUGUUUGUCCAUCAAUGUUCCAUUCAACAAUUGAUCUUCUAUCAUACUAAACCUUUUCGCCCAAAUCAUUGUCUUCAAAUUGAACAGCUACAUAAGUUGGCCUAGGAUAAUAAUUUUUUAGGGAACUUUAACGAAAAGCUCUUGAUACUGUUCACUUUAACGAAAAACCAUAUUUUUACAUUAAAAAGUCAAUCAUGGUACUAUUCACUUUACCCUUUAUUUUGUCCUUAUCGUUAAAACUCAAAAUUUUCAAGUAUUUUUCAUUAGUUUUCCUAAUUUUUUAGGAUAGGUGUUCUUGUGAUUUUGUGUCCUUGUCUUAUCAUAUUCACCUGUGGGUCUAAGGUUGAUUCGGCAAAUUGCUUUUCCAAAUCAGCAAUUUGGGUUUCCGUAAUAACUGAGACAUUUGGCUCUAAUAGUUUUAUUGAGCUUAAUCUUUUUGCCAAAUGAUCAAUAAAGUUAUCAUUAUUUCCUAACUUAUAGUCCUUAAGAUCAGGAGAUGGUUUAAAAAUUGGUUGGUCGACCUUCUUCUUUUCUUCAGAAGAAUUGGAAGAUGUUCUUGGUUAUUUAGGGUUCCAAAUUCUAGACUUGAGAGAAUCAUUGGUCUUUAAUGAAUUCUCUAUCCUAGAGGCUUGUUGACCUAAAGAUUGAUGAAACAAGUUUGUUUAAAUAUUUUGCCAUAUCACAGCAGAAACUCUAAAGAGACUUUCUGUCCUCCAUCAGGGAUUUCUCUAUAAGGGGAGGCAAUUUUUCCUUUUGAAUUGAUCUGGAUGGACUUUUCUGGUUGAUGUAUCACUCUUUCUUUUUUUUCCUUCUAUUGUUGUAUAAGUCUUAAAUAGAUUAUCUAAAGUGCUUAUACAUUGAGUGUAUUCAGAAAAGUUGUAUUUCUUAGCACACCAUUCAUACCAAGGAAAGAUUCUUGUAUUAAUCCCAUUUUCUAUCAUGAAGGUGUAGUGAAGCUUUUUCAAGAAAGCUCUUCUUUCUGUGUUGUAGGUUUUAUCUAGUCAUUCUCUUUUCAAAGCAUUCUCUUCGCUGAAAUAAUCUUUCUCAAUAAAAUCAUAAUCUGGUUCAAAUUUUGUUAUCACACAGAUGUUAGAUUCAACAUCAUCCCACGUAAAAUCAGGCUGUAAGGAUAGAUUCCUAGAAUUCCUAGAGGGAGUUGUGGCUCCAGUAUUCUCGACCUUAUAGAACAGGUAAUGCACUUGUUCUUGGGUUUUUCUAAGGCCUUCUAGGAUAGUUCUUUCAUAGUCUUGCUCAUAUAAGCUUGAUUCAGGCGUUGUAUUCUUGAAAAAAAAUUGUUUUGAAAGGGUUUUGUCUAAGGGAAUCAACACUCAUUUGACCUAAACUUAGCCUGGUUAACCUAUCAUUGUUAAAAUGUAUUUCUACAUCUUCAUCAUCAUACUAGUUAAUAUGACUAGGUUCUCGGUUUUGGAUGGGUUGAAAAGGAAUUGCUUCAUGCAAUCUCCAUAUUUUAGGUCGAGUAACUUCAUUCUACUUAAUCAUCUUAGGUACCACAGUAUGUACAUUUCAUAACCUUGUAUGAAAUUCGGUAAAUCAUAGUGAGAUUCUGUGAUCCAGAGUUUAUAUCAUUCCUUUUGGUAUCUCCGCUUAAGGUAAGGGUUUUUAAGACUCCGGAGUCGGAUAAUGACACUAAAAAGUUCGGGUAACAAUUAAAAUACAUUGGCCCCUCACUUAAAAAAGACUCUACGAAUCCCAACAAGGAAUUAACAAAGUUUAUGUGACGUUUAUCCUGCAGACAGAGUAGAAUAAGGUAUCUAACCGUUAACCUCAAUACUCUGUCAGUCAAUCCUGUCAGCUUUCCCACCAACCCCCUUGUCUUUUAAAAGAUGCAAGAAUCCAAUUCACCAAACCCAAACCCAAUUGGAGGAGCAAUCCAACUCCAACACCACUACCUGCUCCACCCACCCCCAUGGCCGCCUUUUCCCUCCAGACAUCGACCUCCAGCAUUGCCCUUCCCAGUUUCGAAACCCGAAUCCCCGGAUCCGAUUUGGGUUCAAACCCAAAAUCCAUAUGUUUCCCUUGUCAGCCUCGUUUGCUUCCUCUCACGCGUCGGAGCAACAGUAAGAGUAGAUCAAGAGGAGGAGUUGUGAUGGCGGUGGCAGUGACUGGCAAUGACCAGUCCCAAGUGGAAGUCGACGUCUCUCUGAGCCCACGAGUCAACUCCGUCAAGCCUUCGAAGACAGUCGCCAUUACCGACCAGGCCACGGCUCUCGUGCAAGCCGGAGUGCCCGUCAUUCGAUUAGCUGCUGGCGAACCUGAUUUCGAUACCCCUUCCAUCGUAGCUGAGGUACCCUCUUCUUCUACAUUUUCAAUCCAUAUCCUUCAUGUUUUUUUUUUCUUUUUUUUUUAACAGGGCUAGCCUUGGCUUGCUAUUAUGUGGUUCAACUUCGCCUCACCUCUCACUCACAAGUGAAGGAAUACCGCUAGACCGGAGUGAUACGUGGCCUUCUUUGUGUUUGUUGUUGUUGUAAUCCCAAUUUUCAAUUGCGGAUGAUGGGUUGUUUUCAAUUUUUAAUUUGUUUUUUCGUUUUUAAAGGCGGGUAUCAAUGCGAUUCGCGAAGGCUUCACCAGGUACACACCAAAUGCAGGGACUUUGGAGCUGCGCCAAGCAAUUUGUCAUAAGCUCAAAGGUUCGGCUUUUUCGGUUUUUCUUUCUUGUUCUCAUUCUUGAAUGUUGAGAUAUAUGUUAUAUGUUAUAUGGUUUGAGUUGUAAGUAACGAUUCUGAUUUUUUUAGAGGAGAAUGGGAUCACUUACACACCGGAUCAGAUCGUAGUUAGCAAUGGAGCCAAGCAGAGCAUUGUUCAAGCUGUGCUUGCAGUUUGUUCCCCAGGGGAUGAGGUUACUUUCUAAAUUUUUAGUACUCAUAGUAUAAUGCAAUCAACAUUAGGCAUGGUAUCUUAAUACGAUAUGAAAUCAUUAUAUCAUACCGUGAUGUCCUUGAAUUUCAAUUCGGAAGCAUGUUAGUUUAGAGAGACCAAGUGUUGGCCCGAUAAUUAAGGAAUGUUCUUUAUCUUCUUUCUUCUUUUUGGGUGUAUAUGUUGGUGGUUAAUUUGCAUUCAAGUGAAUUCUUGGAAGGUGACACACAUUUACGGAUAAUCAUGUAACUCACAGGUUAUGAUUCCAGCUCCAUUUUGGGUGAGUUACCCUGAAAUGGCAAGGAUGGCCGAUGCAACUCCUGUGAUUCUUCCAACGAGCAUCUCCAAUGAUUUUCUCGUAGAUCCUAAACUUCUCGAAUCCAAACUCACUGAGAAGUCAAGACUGCUGAUUCUUUGUUCUCCAUCCAACCCCACAGGGUCUGUCUACCCCAAGAAUUUGCUUCAAGAGAUUGCUAAGAUUGUAGCAAAGCAUCCUAGGCUUCUGGUACCCUCACUGUACCUGAACUAAAAGACCUGUACUUAUUACCUGCACCUUAACAUUUGAAACCUGAACUUUCCGCUACUGUUUCAUUCAGGUUAUUUCUGAUGAAAUAUAUGAACACAUAAUUUAUGCUCCGGCAACGCAUACAAGCUUUGCAUCCUUGCCAGGCAUGUGGGAGAGGACUCUGACAAUCAAUGGGUUUUCUAAGGUAACCAUAUUGUUAACUCCGCAUAAAUUUAUACUCCUCUUCUGUAAAGGUGGCUUUUCCAUGAUUCUUGAUAAAUGGUGAAAAACAAAAAACCAAAGGCGGUAGGUUUGACGCUGAAGGUUGACAUUCAGAUGGUGGUACUUUUGUAGGCUUUUGCAAUGACUGGUUGGCGACUUGGAUAUAUUGCCGGGCCUAAACACUUUGUUGCGGCUUGUGGAAAGCUCCAGAGUCAGGUAUUUUGUACUUUAUGCAUCUUCCAAAUAUAUUUUUCCCAUCAUUUAACAUGUGAUGAUGGCACCUUUUUUACUAUUGUGUUAUUCAAAUAUACUUCCUGUUAGCUUUUGGCAUUCGUUAUCAGUUUUCGGUUGGAUAAAACACUUUCUUGUAAACACUAAAAGGAAAAAAAGAAAAUAUAUGUGCCCUUCAACACUUAGGAAAAUUGGUAGUAUCUGAGAUGUACCUUCGGGAAAAUAUUGAAGGUAAUGUUAGUUGUUCAAACAGAUUCCUGAUUGAUGUUGCUUGGCAUUGUAAAUGCAAGUUCAUUACUAGGUUGAAAUAUUAAACAUGGAGCUAGUGGUGGAAGUUCUAAUCUUUAGUUGAAGUUUGGAAUUAUGGGGAAGUAUGUGUUGUAAAGUACAGUAAGAGGUAUCAUGCAUGCAGUUAAACCGAUACCUUAAUGGGCAGACCACUAGUUUAACAGUUACCUUACAUGAAGUUAAACUGACAGUCUAACAUGUUUUGAAUGUUAUUGAUGGUCAACCACAUUAAAGUAACUAAACACAAUUAUAGUUGAGAGACAGUUCUUAAGGAGCAGAGAGCACCAAGGAUAUGUUGC
Molecule: long non-coding RNA, 34162 nt
Filed under: Malus domestica (apple)
Lineage: Eukaryota; Viridiplantae; Streptophyta; Magnoliopsida; Rosales; Rosaceae
Description: long non-coding RNA (MDOM_LNC000424)
Rfam family: Plant small nucleolar RNA R71 (bases 9667-9773)
Source: RNAcentral